UACGUAGGGGGCUAGCGUUAUCCGGAAUUACUGGGCGUAAAGGGUGCGUAGGUGGUUUCUUAAGUCAGAGGUGAAAGGCUACGGCUCAACCGUAGUAAGCCUUUGAAACUGGGAAACUUGAGUGCAGGAGAGGAGAGUGGAAUUCCUAGUGUAGCGGUGAAAUGCGUAGAUAUUAGGAGGAACACCAGUUGCGAAGGCGGCUCUCUGGACUGUAACUGACACUGAGGCACGAAAGCGUGGGGAGCAAACAGGAUUAGAUACCCGUAGUCCCUGAGCGGG
This 279-nucleotide ribosomal RNA is filed under the name uncultured prokaryote. Its description in RNAcentral is "partial 16S ribosomal RNA". It matches the Rfam family "Bacterial small subunit ribosomal RNA", at positions 524 to 803 of the family's 1533-position model. The record is from RNAcentral.